Long non-coding RNA from Gastrolobium bilobum, 2455 nucleotides. RefSeq lists it as uncharacterized. The transcript has 3 exons. The record is from RefSeq and is a predicted model, not a curated record. NCBI's taxonomy places the organism in Eukaryota, Viridiplantae, Streptophyta, Magnoliopsida, Fabales, Fabaceae.
CUUCCCCUUUCCUAUUGUCAUUUGGUUCUUUCACUCUUAAGAGGGAUUGUUGUUUGGGUUUGAUAUCUUACCUGCGUUUCCUUUUCUUCUUCAUCAUCAUCUUCAUCUUCUUCUUCUUCUUUUUAAGGGCAAAAGCAUGUUUUCAACCCACACAUCAUCACCUAUAGAUUUUGAAGGUAACUAACUGGGUUGAAAUCCCAUUUGCAUCAGUUUUAUUCGAUCUUUAGAGGUUCUGAAAGUAUGAGCUUUUGUUAUUCUUUUUGGUCAAGUUGGUUUUUUUUCUUUUUUCUUUUUCAAAAAUAGGGGAUUUGGCUUUUGUUUUGUAUUGUUCUGUGGAAUGAGUUCAUCUGGGUAGAUUCCUUUCAGUACUAAACAUACUUUAACCCCAGUGACUAGCCACAUCAGCUACACCUCAACCUUGCUGCUAAAAUUUGCACAUAAAAUCUCUAUUUUGUUCUACCCUUUUUUUUUUUUUUACUCUCUCCUUAAUUACUGUCUCUAUGUUUCAUGAUGUUCCCUUUUUUUAGUUUCAGUUUGGACAAUUUUCCGUGAGAUUAAUCUUUUCUGUGUGUAACUUGUGGCUUUUUUUAGCUGUGAUAUAAACUUUUUCAUGAGAUUGGCAAUAUAAACUUUCUUUCAGGAGCUAUAGUUGCAUGGACACAGAUUCACAGUCGUUAUUUGCGGAUGUAGCAUCAUCAAGAUUCACAUGCAAAUGCAGGUGGGGUUCGACUCUGAUGCAAUCUAAGCAUUCUGCCAAGCCAUAGGUCUUUUGAAGUGAGAAUCUUGAUGAUGCUGCAUCAGCCAUAAACGACUUUAAAAAAAGGUUGGAUAUGUACUAUUUUGGGAUAAACCACAUAUAUCCUUUAUCAGAUACAAUUUUGUUCGAGUGGAUCCAGAAUUAAGUUAAUUCUUUCCAAAAAUGAUAUUGAAGAAGAUCAAAUACAUGCUCUCAUUCUUACUUGUUCAGUUCAUAUGCACCGACUGAGUUACUCGUUAGUUGGAUAAAUACUAUUCUACCCCCCCUCAAAAAAAAAAGUGAGCAAAAACAAAAACUGUUGUUGAGAUUGCACACACCCCAAACCUUCAGAUACUGUCCAUGAUCUGCAUAUUUAAACAAGAGCAGGUGACCCCUUUGGGCCUUUCCACUUUGCUUUUUGUUGUUGUCAGGUGUGUGAAUUUUUUAUUGGCACAUUAAUGGAUAGAGACAAUCCUAGGUUAUCUCAAAUAUAGGCUAUUUGGAGGCUGAGAGGAACGGUUGUUAGGUCCUUUAUGUGCUGACUUCAAAAAUUCUAUGAAUAUUCCCUUUUCAACAGAAAUGCUGGGAUGGAAAUGGUGUCCUUUCAGUUUCUAAAUAUAGAUGGAGAUAUGACUUUAUCCAAAUCUAGUGAGAGUGUUAUAGAGACAAGCACAGAGAGAGGAAAUUAGUAUUUGGAUCUUAGGGUACUGAGCAGUGUUGAGUUCAUGCUGCCAUUAUUUUGGUAACUAUUAUUUUUUAUGAGUAUUAUUUAGACUUUCAUUACAUAAGUUUCAUAUCUAUAAUAUUGCUAUAGCAAAGUUAAAUAAUUUUUUACUUGAUGAUUUACUGAUCUCUAAGAAACUUCAUCAGAGCCUAUAGUUUGGUCCCUUUAGUUAAAGAGUAAGUGAAAACAAGAGUGGAAGGAUAAGUUGAUUGUCACCUUGUGAUUCUGAUUCUACUAGCUAAACAUUUUUCAGGGAGUUUUGGUUCCCGUUCCCACAAGCUUUGUCCUUGUUACUACAUAUUAAUAUUAUAUAAACAGGAAUUAAAUAUGUUUAAUAUAGAGGAUAAUAUAAGCAGAUUAUUGAAAAUUGAAGCAGGCUUGGGAACUUGGAUGUACAAAACUAGGACAUAAUAAUGGACAUUAAUGUCCUGGUUCUAUGGUCGAGGAUUUGGCUUUAGCAUAUACAGUAAUAAUCAUCAGUUACUCUGGGUUUUGGACCAACAAACGUCUUGCAAGUUGGACCCUUAAUUGAAGGAGAUCAUUUAAGAGAAUAAUAGUCUCUUCUAAUUUGGGGAGUCGACCUCUACCUUUAGCUUAAUUCUGAUUCACAUAGAUCUUUCGUAAGUACUUAUUACAUAUUGGAAUAUACACUUCUUCCUCGCUUGUGCAAUUAUUCAACAGCCAUUUCAUUGCAUCUCUAUAAGCUGCAUUAACUAAUUUAUGUCUUCAUUUACAUUCGAUAAAUAUAGUCCAUGCUCUAUCUAUUUAAUUACUCUACUUAAUAACUGAUUGAGACUGUGUGAUUGCCGUAAUGAAAACAAGAACAAUAAUAAUAAUAAUAGAAAAGAAUAGGAUUCAAGCAAUAGCUUAAAAAAAAAUUAAUAUCAUACACAUGUCAUGGCGCAUUCAUUUUAAUUUGUUCUGGCCAAUAGAACUAUUUUUUGAAGGAUAUAUUUUCUCUUUCCUUUUUUUUCAUGAAUUUUCUUAACUUCAAU